This 253-nucleotide ribosomal RNA is filed under the name uncultured bacterium. Its description in RNAcentral is "partial 16S ribosomal RNA". It matches the Rfam family "Bacterial small subunit ribosomal RNA", at positions 524 to 776 of the family's 1533-position model. The record is from RNAcentral.
GACGUAGGGCGCGAGCGUUGUCCGGAUUUAUUGGGCGUAAAGAGCUCGUAGGCGGCUUGUCGCGUCGUCCGUGAAAACCUGCAGCUCAACUGCAGGCUUGCGGGCGAUACGGGCAGGCUCGAGUUCGGUAGGGGAGACUGGAAUUCCUGGUGUAGCGGUGAAAUGCGCAGAUAUCAGGAAGAACACCCGUGGCGAAAGCGGCUCUCUGGAACGGUACUGACGCUGAGACGCGAAAGCGUGGGGAGCGAACAGG